UGCAAGCUUCUCUAUCUAUCUAUCUCUCUCUUCAUGGCCUCUGCUGGUGCUUCGGGGUGCUUCCUUGCUCGUUUCAUCGACCCAGAAUCGGCAAAAUGCAGCAUCUCUGCCGCCCCACCAUUUUCCAUUAGGCAAUCCAUUCAUUUCUUCCAUCAGAAAUAUCAAUUGUGUUCACUUUCCAUGAAUGGGUGCGAAGGAGACCCGAGAAACCCCGUAGGAAACAUUGAAACGCGGGCUUUUCCGGCAGUUCCAUCGCCUGCAUUGGCUAUGGAGAGGCUCAACUCCGCCAUUUCUCAGUUGAAAUCCGAGCCACCACCAUUUACAUCUGGAAUUAUUCGUCUCGAGGUGCCAAUCCAGCAGCCGGUUGAAGCAAUUGAUUGGCUCCACGCCCAACACAACCUCCUCCUUCCUCGCUGCUUCUUCUCCGGUCGAACCGGCUGUUCCGACCUUUUGAGUUUCACAAAUGGCAAUGCCAAUGGCAAUGGCAUCUCAAUGGGUGCACACAAUUUGGUCAGCGUAGCUGGUGUGGGCUCCGCGGUCUUGUUCCACAGUAUUCAUCCCUUCUCAUAUAGCGAUUGGAAAUCCAUUAAGAGGUUCCUCUCAAAGAAGUGCCCUUUAAUCCGUGCUUAUGGGGCUAUACGUUUCGAUGCGAGGUCUAGCAUAUCAUCAGAAUGGGAGGGUUUUGGAUCCUUUUACUUCAUGGUUCCUCAGGUUGAGCUUGAUGAGCUUGAAGGAAGCUCAAUGCUUGCCGCAACUGUUGCAUGGGACAAAUCCCUUUCAUGGACAUGGGGAAUGGCUAUUGAUGCACUUCAGGCUACCAUGUGCCAGGUUUCUUCCACUGUUGUAAAGCUGCGAAAAGAGGUUCCAAGAACAUUCAUAAUAAGCAAUAAUCACAUCCCCAGUAAGACAUAUUGGGAUCUUGCUGUAAACAGAGCCUUGCAGCUGAUUGACAGAAGCAACUCUGCACUGAUUAAGGUUGUACUAGCACGGAGCAGCAGAGUGGUAACUACUACAGAUAUUGACCCUAUAACAUGGUUAGCUUGUUUACAGGUUGAAGGAGAAAAUGCUUAUCAGUUUUGUCUGCAGCCGCCUAAUGCCCCAGCAUUUAUUGGAAACACGCCAGAGCAACUAUUUCAUAGAAAAUGUCUUAGCAUUAGUAGCGAGGCUUUGGCUGGAACCCGUGGUAGAGGUGGAUCAACGACUCUAGAUCUUCAAGUAGAACUUGAUUUACUUUCCAGUCCGAAGGAUCACCUUGAGUUUACUAUAGUGCGAGAAAGCAUAAGAAAAAAAUUAGAGGCUGUAUGUAAUGGGGUAGUGGUAGAACCAAAGAAAGCGAUACGGAAACUCCCAAGAGUCCAGCAUUUAUAUGCUCGAUUGGCAGGCAGAUUAAGAAGUGAAGAUGAUGAGUUUGACAUCUUGGCUUCUCUUCAUCCAAGUCCAGCUGUUUGUGGAUUUCCAACAGAAGAGGCACGGCUUUUUAUUGCAGAAGCUGAAGUAUUUGAUCGAGGAAUGUAUGCUGGGCCUGUUGGUUGGUUUAGCGGAGGAGAGAGCGAGUUUGCUGUUGGCAUCAGGUCUGCAUUAGUGGAAAAGGGUCUUGGUGCAUUGAUCUAUGCUGGAACAGGAAUAGUGGAAGGAAGCAAUCCAUCUUUGGAGUGGGAUGAAUUGGAACUCAAGAUAUCUCAGUUCACCAAGUUGCUUAAACUUGAACGAACUGCCUCUGCACCAAAAGUUAUAACUUGAGGAGUAUAAACUGAAAGAUUGGUGGUCACCAGUAGUGAACAUUAGGUGUUAUCUUGUGUUCUGAUUUGCUUGAAAAAAAAAGGUCAAGUUGCUGGAGAAGUUAUAAUAAACAGAAGCAAACAGGAUUUGUAAGUAAUCUGAAUAUCAAGGGGAAAAGGGGUUUCAACUUGCUCGAUUCUGUCAUCAAGGAUGUUUUGAGAUAUAACCUCAAUAAUAUCAUGCAGCACUCAGAGAAUCACCAGUCAUUUAAGAGCACCUGCAAAGCGUGUGAGCCUUCUCACGAACUUCCCUGGCUUUGCUGUGAUCACUUUCUCCUUGUCCAUCUUUCUAAUAUGCGUUCCAGAUUGGACAAAGAAGGCUCCAUUCAUCAACAAAUCCUCCUCUGACUUCAAUUCCAUGUCCUCCACUCACUCUCAGGUGCAUAGUCCCUCUUCGUCACCUAGACCACCCACACGUGAAAUACGUUAUUAUUUCUAAAUAUAAAAUAUCAAAUGUAUGCAAGUGAAUGUAUGUGGAUUAAUUGAUUCUUUCAUUCCUUUUGGGUUAUUGUAUGUGAAUAAUUUGAUGAUUUAUGAUUGACACUUAAGAGGCUUCUGUUAGAGAAUUUGAAAUUGGAAAAGAGAAAUGUUGAAUUUGUA
Alnus glutinosa is the source of this 2378-nucleotide RNA transcript. It is a transcript of the gene named isochorismate synthase 2, chloroplastic-like, with no coding region annotated. Lineage: Eukaryota; Viridiplantae; Streptophyta; Magnoliopsida; Fagales; Betulaceae. The record is from RefSeq and is a predicted model, not a curated record. The transcript is spliced from 17 exons.